CUGAAGAUACGAACUUGUAACAGGUUUCGAACCCCUAUAGUGUUCCUCUAUAAAUGGGCUAGAUAACCAUGAAGCUGAAGAUACGAACUUGUAACAGGUUUCGCCAUUGGAGGCAAAAGUAAAAGAUAAAAUAAAAGAAAUGUACAGUAAUAAAAACUUUGUUCAGAAAGUGAGAUAUAAAUGCAAACAGAAGGGCAUCUCUGUAUUACUAUAUAAUAAAUAUGAUCUUUUAUGAAGGUGGGGGGGAAUCAAGUUAAGGUUUCCAUCGUUGCCAUCUUCGUGAAUUAUCUUAGCAGUUUAGAAUAAAGUGAGGUUUGUUGCAGAGGCGGGACCAUUUUCGGCUGUGUUUCGGC
This 353-nucleotide long non-coding RNA is filed under the name Theobroma cacao (cacao). RNAcentral's name for it is "long non-coding RNA (TCAC_LNC005155)". Lineage: Eukaryota; Viridiplantae; Streptophyta; Magnoliopsida; Malvales; Malvaceae. The record is from RNAcentral.